This 908-nucleotide long non-coding RNA is filed under the name Mytilus galloprovincialis (Mediterranean mussel). The record is from RNAcentral. Lineage: Eukaryota; Metazoa; Mollusca; Bivalvia; Mytilida; Mytilidae.
CCGUUUAGUAUUAAGGUGAUACACAUCAAUUUGCUAGUCAUGCCAUUGAAGUGUUUGGACAAAAUUUAGCUAGUUGUGAGAUUAAUGCAAUUUACUCACUCUCUGUAAGUUACCAUUAUUUGUUAACUAUUUUAUUGUGUUAUAAGAUUUGAAGAUCAAUAACAAGCUGUUUUCUAAUUUUAAAACUCUCAGCUGGUAUCUGUAAUUUCGAAAAUUUCUAUAAUACAGUCAGAUAUUAUUGGUUUAGUAUAUUUGUUUAUCUUUAUAAUUACACCAUCUGUAAGAAUCCCGGGUUUUGAUUGGUUGAUAGCCAGUGUAUUUUUCACCAAUUUACUGUAAUCAUAUGAAUAUCGUUCAUUUCUUAACGCCGCCGGGGUAUAUACAAAAAGGAUAUACCCUCUCUGCCAUGGUAUUUGCCAAAAAAUACUCUAUCGGACUGGACACUUGUAACCUUAAGAUCAUCAAUGCGUUUUUGAACGUUGACAUUAAGUGUAAUAAAACAUAUAUAGCAUGUUCUUGUGGGAUAUUGCGAAAAAUACCAGUCUUGAGACAUUUAACAUUCUCUCGACUGGUAUUUUUCGCAAAUAAUCCUCCUUAACAUGAUAUAUCUGUUUAAUAUUAUAUUAUUAUUUUUUAGUAAUGAUUGUUACUGUGUGCACUUUAAGGGUUUAUUUGUUAAAGAUAAAGUAUUUUCCUGACUGGGGACAGGCGCAUGCAAAUAGUUUCCAUGGGUGGGGUUAAAUUUUUCUUUUAAUAUAUAGUGUCCCUCUCCCUUUUAACUUAUAUCCUCAGUGUAACCUAAUUACACAAUAACAAUCAGUCCAAAAAAUACAACAUGUACAACUUAAUACAAGAUUUAAGGUUUAUAAAAACACAAGUACAAGCUAUAACAAUACCGUAUAAAAUUU